This 254-nucleotide ribosomal RNA is filed under the name uncultured bacterium. RNAcentral describes it as "partial 16S ribosomal RNA". It matches the Rfam family "Bacterial small subunit ribosomal RNA", at positions 524 to 776 of the family's 1533-position model. The record is from RNAcentral.
UACAGAGGGUGCAAGCGUUGUUCGGAAUUAUUGGGCGUAAAGCGCGUGUAGGCGGCUUUGCAAGUCGGGUGUGAAAGCCCCGGGCUCAACCUGGGGAAUUGCGCGCGAAACGGGGGGGCUUGAGUUCGGGAGAGGAGCGUGGAAUUCCCAGUGUAGAGGUGAAAUUCGUAGAUAUUGGGAAGAACACCGGUGGCGAAGGCGGCGCUCGUGGACCGAGACUGACGCUGAGCGCGAAAGCGUGGGGAGCAAACAGG